GAUGAAGAACGUAGCGAAUUGCGAUAUGUAAUGUGAAUUGCAGAAUUCAGUGAAUCAUCGAAUCUUUGAACGCACAUUGCGCCCGCUAGUAUUCUGGCGGGCAUGCCUGUCCGAGCGUCAUUUCAACCCUCAAGCCCCCGGGCUUGGUGUUGGGGAUCGGCGAGCCUCCGCGCCCGCCGUCCCCUAAAUCUAGUGGCGGUCUCGCUGUAGCUUCCUCUGCGUAGUAGCACACCUCGCACUGGGAAACAGCGCGGCCACGCCGUUAAACCCCCAACUUCUGAACGUUUGACCUCGGAUCAGGUAGGAAUACCCGCUGAACUUAAGCAUAUCAAUAAGCGGAGGA
Molecule: unclassified non-coding RNA, 343 nt
Filed under: soil metagenome
Description: partial contains 5.8S ribosomal RNA, internal transcribed spacer 2, and large subunit ribosomal RNA
Rfam family: 5.8S ribosomal RNA (bases 1-120)
Source: RNAcentral